UGCGCCGUAAGCAUAUUUGAGAUAAGUGUCAUAUUACGAAUUUAUUUAUCAAGAGGAAGCCAAUUUUUGGAUCCCGUGACGAUUACAGUCUCAUCGUAAUUGCAACACUUAUAACUACCGAUUAUAUGGAGUGCAAUACGCUUCCUGAUCCCUUUGACGCGGACGGUUUUGGGUUUGCUCUCAUGUUUCUGUGAUUGACAGACUUUAUUUUCAAUAUAAUGGUGCAAUUUACGUAAAAGCGAACACGUGGAUGAUAAGUAGGAAGGAUAUGAUUCAUAGACCUCGUGUAAAUUGUCUGAAACGUGAGAGCAUUUGAUUCUUAAGAGAAGGAGUCAAGAUCGACGCUCAUUUAUUUUAUUCCUUUGGUUCGGAGUUCCUCCGAAUUUAUUAACUGUCGGAAUCUAAGCUAAGUGUCAGAAGGAGAAUCGAGUUUCAAAAUAACACGUAGUUGGUUAAACAAUCCUGAUAAAAGGGUGUCGGACGACCAGUACCGAUGCUCUUUUGUUUUCCGUCCCGGGCCGCAGUUCCUCGGGGUUUAUUGAUCCCAGUUGUAAACACACCAUGGCAGGAGUCGGAGGGGAAGGACCGCUCCUCCUCGCCCUUUCCUCCUCGUUCCUUCUCCCGGGUGUGAAUGGCAAGCCCUCGACGGGGACGGAUCUCGAAAUAGACGAGAAGUACCAGAACACGCAUAGGAUUGACAGCUUGAAUAUCCUCCUAUACACCUUUUUACUGAUCCUAACUGUGGUGACGAUAUGGAUCUUCAAAUACCGAAGGGCAAGGUAUUUGCACGAGACCGGCCUGGCUGUCAUUUACGGUUUGAUAGUCGGAGCCAUCCUGAGGUACAGCGGGGACAACACCCCCGUCAGCCACAUGGUGGUUGACCCCAAGGAGCCACAGACCUACCACGGGGAUGCCCCUCCAGACACCCUCUGGUUGAAGUAUGGAGGUAAUAUAAAUGCUAGCCAGAACAGAACAUACGCAUACUCUUUCAGGGGAGAGAUUCCUGAAAGCUUAGAAGAUGAGAUUGUUCAGAAGGCAACUUUUGAUCCUGAAAUCUUCUUUAACAUCUUGCUGCCUCCCAUUAUCUUCAGUGCUGGCUACAGUCUCAAGAGGAGACAUUUCUUCAAGAACCUGGGUGCCAUUUUCACAUUUGCCUUUCUGGGGACAACCAUAUCAACUUUUGUAGUUGGCGGCUUAGUGUAUGGCUUCUUAUGGCUGUUGAGCUCAAGCUUCUCAUUCAUCGACUGCCUUUUAUUCGGCGCUCUCAUCUCCGCCACCGACCCAGUCACCGUGCUGGCCAUCUUCUCCGACCUCCACGUGGACGUCAAUCUGUAUGCCCUGGUGUUUGGAGAGUCGGUUCUCAACGAUGCAGUCGCCAUUGUCUUGUCUAGUGCCAUCGAAAGUUAUGGCAGUGCCAGUGGAGGCUUUGAGACGUCAGCCUUCUUCCUGGCCAUCCUCAAUUUCCUGUGGAUCUUCAGCAUGUCAUUCCUCAUCGGCUCAGUCAUGGGCUGCCUCACCGCCAUCCUCACCAAGUUCACGCGUCUUAAGGACUUCCCGCUGCUGGAGACGGCGCUCUUCGUCCUUAUGUCAUACUCUACCUUCCUCAUGGCAGAGGCAGCGGACUUGACAGGUAUUGUGGCGGUGCUCUUCUGUGGAAUCUGCCAAGCCCACUACACCUACAACAACCUGUCUGCGGAGAGUCGCGUUGCUACCAAGACACUGUUCGAACUCCUCAAUUUCCUCUCAGAAAACUUUAUCUUCUCAUACAUUGGGGUUUCUAUGUUCACCUUCGACCACCACAAGUGGGAUGUGGGAUUCAUCUCCAUCGCCUUCGUAGCCAUUAUCGCUGGGCGCUUCAUGUGCGUCUACCCUCUUUCCUUCCUGCUGAACCUUGGCCGGACUCCGAAGAUCCCCAUCAACUUCAUGAACAUGUUGUUCUUCUCGGGUCUCAGAGGAGCCAUAGCCUUUGCACUUGCCAUUCGCAACACCAGCAGCAGUGCACGGAAGGCCAUCCUAACCACGACGUCGCUGAUAGUCAUAAUAACUGUCAUAUUAUGCGGCGGCCUCACCACCCAGGUUCUGUCAUGGCUUGGGAUACCGGUUGAUGUGGAGGAUGAUGAGACCCACCACCUAAACACCUCGUUCCAGCCAAUCAGAAAUGAUUACAAAAGCAUUGACGAAGGCAGGGGGCCAGGGGCAGAGGAUGGGGGAGAAGGCCCUCCCGAGGGGAUCAGCAGCAACUCAAGCAAGUACGAGAAGGCCUGGCUGUUCCGCAUCUGGUCGCAGUUUGACGUGAAGUUCAUGAAGCCUUUCCUGACCAACAGUCGCCCCACUCUGCUAGACACCACACCCCUCUGCUGCGCCCCCUUAGCAAGGAUCCUGACUACAACCGAACAACUGACGCAGGAUCGCGACCCUCUUAAUGAUGACCUUCCAAUAGACGACUCUAUCAUCAGUGUCGGGGGAAUUCACACCUCCAUAGACUCUAGUCGGCAGGAACGAGACUCUGGGGAUAACCGUAGCCAACUCAGUAUUGACGCCCAGAAUUUCAUGUAACUAACAACCCCCUGUUCACCAACCAUCACCACAACCACUACUAACUACUACUACUACUACUACUACUACUCUACUACUACCACCUCCACCUCCACCUCCAUGGAACAGCUAACUCCUGAACAACCAGACUGAAUAUAACCAACCCAUUAUACGACGGCGACCUGGGCUUGGGCUCGUCCAGUAGCGUGCCCACCCGGGUGUCUGUGGCUGGUUCCCGGGGCCAAGACCUGUAGAGAUGGCGAGUGGCUGCGUCCAACGUCUUGUGUGUUAAUUGAAGAUGUGUUUGUAUAGUGAAAAGUGACAAGUGACAUGAGAUUGGAGGAAGUCAUGUUUGGCAAAGUGUCAUACUCUCCAUAAAUCCUUUUUUUUUUAUAUAUAUAAAUAUAUGUGUAUGUGGGCUUGAAAGUGUUUUAAGAGCCAGAUUAGCUUCUGUGUUUCAGAGGGUUUUAUUUAUUACACUUUACUUUUUCCCCGUCGUAACUAUUGGAAAAAUUUGAGACACCAUAUUGACUUAUGGAAUGGAUUUUUUUUUUUCUUUCUUUUUUUCUUUCUUUCCUUCUUUCGUUUUGUAUUAGAUUUUUGUUACCUUCUAACUGUCUCUGUAUUAGAAUUACAUUGUUGAGAUUUCAGCUUAGGAACUUGUAGUGACAGUACUUUCCAUACUGUGUACAUAUUAAACACGAACUCUGUGAAAGAUGUGGUUGCUUGUGUUUGUCUGGCGGAGGUUUGCAAGAGAGCGUGUAUACUACGUUUCAGUGUGCCAAUAACCAAAUGACAUAUGCCAGAUUGAGAUAAAGGGAGAAAGAAAGUAAUUUUGCCCUUUUUUUAUUUUGGUACUAUAUAUAUUUUUUUUAAUUAUUAUAAUUAUUAUUAUUAUUUUUUUUAUUAUUGUUAUUAUUAUUAUUAUUGUGAUUAUUAUUAAUGAAUCAGUCAGUAUUUAGUAAAUGAUCUACGUAAAUCUUUCAUUUUUGUUUUUGUAGAAGGUUUAUGGGAUUACACUCAGUCUGGGAAAGUUUUGUUUGUCUAUUAUAAGGAAGCUUUGUCUGUAAUACUUUUUAUGACAGAUUCUGUUCGUGUUAAAUACAGAAUUUUUGUUGAUGUUGUGUUAGGGCAUUUUGCUCUCUUUCUCUCAUUUUCUUCUCUUUCAUUUAUAUUCAGUAGCAAGGGAAAAGGCAGAAAAGGACGAUAAAAGAAAGUAUAAUAUCUAAUUUGUUACUGAUCACAAUUAAGAGGUUUAAAAGCUAUUGUGACUAUUGUGACAAUCUCGUUGGUCUGGAAUACAAAUGUUUGAUAAUAAUUCUUAGUACCUUAGGUUAUUAAUGUGAAAAUUGUUUCAAAUGUAGUUGAAAUGGUUAGUUUCAGUGGUUGAUAUUGGCCCACUACUGAUAAUUCACAAACCCUGUGAAAUAGUGGUAGAUUCUUUGAAUGUACUUUGUUGAUGUGGGAUAUGAAUAUGAUCAUUAUUUAUUGAUCUUCAUUGAUAAUGUUGUUGGAAGGAUGUUAUCAUUACAGCAAGCUGUAUUUUUUUUAGGUUUCAAGCUGGAUGUACAUUGCAUACAUAUAAGAUAAAUGUGAUAUGUUUGAAUGGUUUCUAGAAAGAUCAGACCUGAUUAUUCACUUCCAUAGGUUAACCAUGUAGUUUUUCAUGUUGGAAGAAACCAGUGAGACAACUCAGCUUGUGCUUGUCUUAUGCGAUGUUACUUGUAGGCUUUUGUGGGAAGCAUAAAUGAUGCUUUUCUUAACCAAGGGCAACGUGUUUUGAAGAACUUUAUAUAGGGUGAUGAGGGAGGGGAAUGUAGAGAGGGAAGGAGGGAGGGAGGGAGGGAGGGAGGGGAAUGGCAUUGUUUUACCUUAAUAUAAACAGCUUUGAUGGCUUAGAUCUGUCUAUGCAGUGUAAGAAAAUUGGUUUCUGUUUAGGGGUCCUUUAAGUUUGCUUCAAAGUAAAAAAUAAAUUUGUUAUAUAUAUUAUGAUGUUCACUCAGUGCACUUAAAUGUGUCUGUGCUUCGUGUGUCUCUCUCCAGUAAGAGUCAGUGUAGUGAGCACUUCAGUAUUCAUGCUUGUAAAUGCCCACUUGAGGAUGAGCAUCUGAGAAAGCAUGUGUUAAAACGCUCAUGCUUACCUAUAUUGCGCAUACUACUACCUUAGGAUGGUCCCUCUUAAGGUUUUCUAUUUUCAUAUUUACAGAACAGGUAUUAUAUUUUUACUUGAUCAAGCUCUGGACAUAGUAUACCUAUUGCUAAGACUACUACUGUGCAUUGUAUCGAUUCCUGUUCGUUUCAGGGGUUUACCCCGGAAUGAACAAAUGGGAUAGCCCAAGUGAAAGGGAUUUUCAUAGUUGUUGUACAUAGGAGAUUAGCUGUAAUAAAAAUGUUAAAAUUGAAAAAAAAAAAAAA
RNAcentral lists this unclassified non-coding RNA (4950 nucleotides) under Penaeus chinensis. RNAcentral's name for it is "sodium/hydrogen exchanger 7-like, transcript variant X4". Lineage: Eukaryota; Metazoa; Arthropoda; Malacostraca; Decapoda; Penaeidae. The record is from RNAcentral.